Long non-coding RNA from Cavia porcellus (domestic guinea pig), 1054 nucleotides. RefSeq lists it as uncharacterized. The transcript is spliced from 3 exons. Lineage: Eukaryota; Metazoa; Chordata; Mammalia; Rodentia; Caviidae. The record is from RefSeq and is a predicted model, not a curated record.
UCCUGCAACUCUAGAUCAGCUGUGUUCUCUACAGCUAACACUGUAAAGUACCAGUCUCUUAACACAGUGUUAGGAAGAGUUGUAACUAUUUUUUCAGCCUCUCCUCUCUCAGACCCUACCUGCCUAAUGAUCUCACCAUGGAAAGCAAGGGGCACUCAGCCUGGCACUCAAGACUUUCAGGUGGCAUCACUCUGUCAAGUCUGACUCUGUCUUCUUAUCACAGGUAUUUAUGGAGCGGCCACUCUCACCUGCCUAUAAGCUAAGACUUCACUCUCAGAGGCUCUUUUUGUGUCUGGGAUUUAUUCUCCAUCUUGUGUGUCCACGAGCUCUCAGAUUCUGCUGACCUUUGCAGUCAUCUCCUCAGCCCUGCUUCACCCUAGAGAGCCCUCCUUGGUCGGCCUCUGCCUGAGCACUUCCAAUGAAGGAAGAAUUACUUCCUCACGAGUGUUCUUUAGAGUGUAUUUCAUCCUACUGAGCAGAGUCCUUCCCUCUGCGCCUGCCGCCGCUCUCCACUCCUUCACAGAGGGCAGCUCCCCUCCCUUUAACUCGGCAGGAUUAUCCCACACCAGCAAUGACGGAAACUCCAGCACCGGCUUCCACAACUUCCUCAGUUCAGAACUCCGUGCAGCGAAGGACUUGUCAGUGAGGAAGCCACAUACUCAAAUGCCUGCCGUGGAAAGUUCCCUGGUGCUCUUCCUUCGGAGCCUCUGGUUUCUUAUUCUCCUGGCUGAUGGAUUCAACACACUAAUUAGCCACUUGUUCUGGAGAUCACAAAACAGAUGAAAGCACAGUAUCUGGAGAAGCUUAAACAAAAACUCACCUGGAGCUUGGGAGGCGGAGUAAGCAUAAAAACGUCUAGGAGAGAAUCAUACCUCUCCCAGUUAUUCAUUAGACAGCUCUGGACAGGUUGUCUAACUUCAGCAAAUCUCUAUGUCAUUAUUGGUAAAACGAGGAUAUAUGAUACAGCAUUAGUCUCCACUUAUUUUAAUGAUGAUUAAUGACUCAGUGAGUUAUAGCCAUCAUUAUCGUUAUUUUAAUUAAUAAACAUUCUGUU